Molecule: small RNA, 661 nt
Filed under: Pan troglodytes (chimpanzee)
Lineage: Eukaryota; Metazoa; Chordata; Mammalia; Primates; Hominidae
Description: retained intron
Source: RNAcentral
UAGGCCGGGGUCUCACAGCGACUGCGCGGACGGGUUCCUGAGUGGAACAUGGCGACUUGCGCCGAAAUCCUGCGGAGCGAGUUCCCCGAAAUUGACGGACAAGUCUUCGACUACGUGACCGGCGUCUUGCACAGCGGCAGCGCGGACUUCGAGUCUGUGGAUGACCUGGUGGAAGCUGUAGGGGAACUAUUGCAAGAGGUGUCCGGGGACAGCAAGGAUGACGCGGGCAUCAGGGCCGUGUGCCAGCGCAUGUACAACACUCUGCGUCUGUAUGUGCCAGGGAGUAGGAGUUGAUGGGGGCGAAGGGACGGCGAACGGUCCGGAGACAAGAGGUGGGGGAAGAAGAUCUGAUGGCCAUAGAGCUUUUCCCUUAACUCCUAACUGUGCGCUUUCUAUCCCUACCCACAUAGGGCUGAGCCACAAAGCCAGGGAAAUAGCCAGGUGCUACUGGACGCCCCUAUCCAGUUGUCAAAGAUAACGGAGAACUACGGUGAGAGUGAGGGGAGGUUGAACUAACUGCCCCCCUGUGCUUUUCUCCGCCCCCAACCAUCUGCUGCCUGCAGCUUAGGGCUCCUACGUCUUUUCCACAGGACAAGGUUGUAGGAGCUAGUUGAUGUCUUUACCGAGGGCAGAAAAGCCCAUGAUGGGGGUGGGGAGGAGG